Molecule: non-coding RNA, 6027 nt
Organism: Taeniopygia guttata (zebra finch)
Lineage: Eukaryota; Metazoa; Chordata; Aves; Passeriformes; Estrildidae
Source: RefSeq, a predicted model, not a curated record
CAAACAAAAAAGCAAGCAAAACCACAACCAGAUUUAAAAAAAACCCAAAACAAACAGCAACCAACCAAAUAUAAAAGCCCUGCCUUCUCCUGCCAACACAAUUGCUAGUUCAUCAAUCAAAGAGCUAAGGAUGUCUAACUUUGAUAUUCUGCAUAGUAUAAGGUGAAAGGCUAAAAAAGGAAAACAGAAGUAGAGAAAUUAUAGCUGUACACAGGUCUGCACACUGUCCCAAAUCCUUCAAUUGACCAUUAAGCUAAAAACAAACGAAAAAACCCCACCACAAACACACACAUGGCAUCACUACAUAAACAUCAACUGCCAGUGCUCACAUCCCAACAUGGGAUAAAGGGGUAAACUGGUGACAGGCUCUGGGCCUUUGCAUGACUUCAGAAACUUUACUUCUACCCUGGUAGGUGCCUGGCUCUAUGUAAAUGCAAAUAAUAUAGCAAAUUCAGUUAAAUAGUAAGACCUGAAUGUCUUACUAUUACAUGCUCUAACUUUUUAGAUUUUUACCUUACACUUCCAAGAUAGAAAUCCUGUCUUGAAAGUCAAUUUAUGAAAAAUCAUUUCAAGUGCUUCAGGGCUUCUGGUUAGUAUGAUCAAGUAUUUUCAAACUUCAAAAUUACGUUGCUGAUGUUAAAUAAUGUGGAGUUAAAUUAAUGUGGAAUUACUAUAGAACUUUAUCUAUGACUAUAUGACUUCAUAUAUAACUGUAACAAAGACAAAUGCUUUAAUUUGCAGUUCCUCAAUCAGAAUGCAAGUAGGUUAUCUGCUUCCCUGACACAGCUGGGGAAAACAGUGACUUAUGUCUAGAUAGAAAUUAGCUUAGCUUCAGAAAUCUUUUGGUGCAGGAAAGUACAUUUGCAUCUUGGAAUGAAGAGGCAUUUCCUAACAUAUAUGUUUAGAUUGUUUUUAUUUUAAUGUUAGUGGGAUGUACCUACAUACCUACAAAUUCCACAUCAAAUUAAUACAAAUGUGUUAUUAAGUACCUUAUACAGGCUAUACCAUCUUUACUUAACAUAAAUACAUUUCUCCAUUUCAAAGAAAUGAAAAAAAAUACAAAUAACUUAGCUUUUGGAUUUCCAAAGCUUGUUAUUAGCUUGCAAGAACACAAAUAUUCUUUCCAUUUUAGAAGUGGAUUUUUUACACACUGUAUUUGAUUUAUACUAAAUUAAGCAUGAGUAAAUGUUAUAAAAAUAUUGUUUGUCUUCUGGGAUACAAAUAAUCAUGAUCAUAUUUAUAACCCAAUGUUUAUAUAUAAAGUUAAGAAAGCAUAAAUUAAUAAUGCUGCAUUAGUGGGAAAAAAGGCCUAAUGAAUUAAGUUUGACUGUAAAUAUCCAGCAGAGGAGGCUAGUUCUGAAUAUAAAAUUGAUCAGAUGACACUGUUUGGAGAUAUCCUUAUCUAAAUAUCUUUAAAUGAUAGCAAAUGCUUAAAAGUGUAAAAUUAUGAUAGGGUUAAUCUGAAGAAAAUGUAAUUUUUGAGGUUUUUCAACAUUUAGAGAAUGCAAACAACUUGUGGGAGAUGGGCAGAUGUUGAAAGGGAAGUGUUUCGGUCUACAUGCAAACAUGAAGUUGUAGUGAGAAGAAAAAUAGAGAAAUCACAUUAUAUUAUUUUCUCUGUCACUAAUGUAGGUGGGAUAAUGGAACCCAGAAGUGCUGUGAUAUCACUGGCAUUUUCUUCUCACAUUCCCUGUGAAAUCCCCAAAUAUGCUGUUAGGGCAACCUGAGGAGCAGAGCCAAAUGGAAAGUGGUUUUCUCAAAUCAUUCAGGUUGCAAGCAGAUUACAGAUUUAACAAUACCCGUCUAAAGGUAAAUGAAAUAAGUUCUACAUGAAUAUAUACAAUACAGGGAUUAUAAUUCACUCAGAAGUCCAAUUUGCUGUAAACCCAGGGAAAUGCGAGUUAACACCACCUUAACAGGCCCAUUUCCCAGGUCUCUAACCCAAGGAAAAACCAAAGUGGAACCUGACAAAAGGAAGACUCCUCUGGGAAGAACAAAUCUGCUCACUGUUCCCUGGAAUUCCUACAUUUUACAUUAUUGAGUAAAAUCCAUGAGACAGUCCUGGGAACGGGGAUGAGAUUGAACCCCACCUUUUCCUCUGGAAAUCCUAGUGCUCAAUGCAUUCUAAAAUCUAACUCAUCCUUUUCCCAUUCCCUAGCAAUAGUGAUCCAGGUUCUGCUCAGCAACAUAAGAUGGCACGUCAGCAUCCCCCAUUUUCAGUCAUUUGCUCCAAGCUGGAAUUCACAUGGACUACGUUUAGAGCUCUUGCUAUUUUUACUGGUGCUCAAAGCAAUAGACAUUGCAUCUGUAACUACUGUUUUCUGUUGUAUGGUGUUGGUUGGCUCUGAGCAAUUUUCCAUUUACCAUCCAGGAGCUCCACAACAGCAUCCCAACUCGCUGCACAAGUAGUGAAGACUAGGACUCGCAUGUUAUUUGGCAGUUCCCAUCUCUCUGUUGUUUAUAUUGGGAGAUAAGCAGAGAGAAUAGUUUUUAGCAAAUGUACAGACUUUUUAAACACUGCAAUACCUUCUGACCACCACUUUCAAGUUCUAGCUACUAUUCCUAGAGAAUCAACGAACAAACCUUCCUAUUAAGGAAGUUUAUAGUAUUGGUAUUAUCUUGCUCCUGGAUAGUCCAGCAGUAACACAAUAAACUGGAAAUGUGACUUAGUAAGGGGUUUAAAGAAGCCCACAGAACCUGAAGCCACCUGGUCACAUCUGUGCAAGGCAUACUUUGUUGCUCACAACAGCAAUACAGGAGUUAUAUUUCGAAGCGCUGACAUUCCCCCAUCCUGUAUAUUUACUAAAGAAUUUAAAGUCUAGGAUUGUCUCUUCACUGCAACAUGAAUUAACUUCUUGUGCUAUUUUCUAAGAGAGGAAAAAUAUGAAGAAUGCUAAAAGGUGAAAGGAUGUGCUAGCUACAGCAGUUCCUCUGGCAUGUAGAAUUUAGAGCAGAUAAUUUCAUAACACCAAAAGGUCAUGCAAAUAUCAGUCUGGAAGAGAUAUGGAGAGACCUAACUUUGUAGAAGAUGAGUCUGAAGGAGGCAUUGUAGUAUAUUGUCCUUUGUUCACUGCUGAGAAACAGGUGUUCCUUGAAGUUUUAAACUAAUUAUUCAUUGCUACAAGUUGAUGCUGACAAGUAGGCUGUGGAGAAGUACAGCUAGCAAAGUUAUGAAAUAAGAAAGGUGAGGAGAAACAAGAUUAUGUCACAAGGUGUCCAACAUAGAGAUGGCCCCCCACCUUUGAAACCAUGUUGGAUCAAGGACACAAAGAAUACUUUAGAGCCCUCAAAAGCAGGGGGUAUGACUUUUGUUUGAGCUGAGCCCCAAACAACAUUCUUCUACACGACUAACCCACUUCUGAGGAACUGCUUGCAUGACAUUUUGGUUAACUUUGGAAGCUGAUUCUAUCUGCCUGGGAUCUACACAUCUUGCACUAACUACUAUUGACCAUUUUAGACAGCCAUUUUUACCAUGACUCUUACUUGAGUUCAUAAUACUAGUAAUUUUGCAUAUGCAAAGGAAUGUAAAAGGUAUCUCACCAAGGCACAAAGAACAUUUUGGUCAGUUAGGUUGAAUUAAGCUCUUGAAAAAGAUUGGUUUAUAGUACGAUUCCAUACUUCAAACAGUUUUAAGCCAAGAGACCCAAAUAUCUUACAAAGGUGCCUGUACUAUAUAGACUUUCUAGGUAAAAGAGAAACUGUAUUAGGAGAAAAAUAUAUUAGUUUUGGCAACUUAGAAAUGGAGGUAUAUGUAAGGGAGAAAAUUAAGAAACCCGACAAAAAAAAAAAAGUUAUUAUGCUUUAGGUCCUGGAAUUCGACAUACUGGUAUUUCAGAAGGAGCAGUGUAAAACACAAUAAAGAUUGAGCUACCCCACAGAAAUUACUCUUCCAGGCAUGUCUGCAGAAGAUGCAGGAGGUAAAUUAGUUGCUAGCUUUGAGAAGAUACAGAAUCUUAAACACUUCUUACUUCUUAUUGGCAACACAAUGGCUCAAAAAGGAAGGAGAUAAGUGAGAGAGCCACUGAGUUGUGGAAGAUCAGCACUUCACUCUUCUCACCCUAUGAUUUGACGGGAGUAAAACCAGACACUUUCAUCAGUUGCAGCUUCAAAGUUGCAAAACCACAACCAAAAUUAAAGCGUAGCCUCAGUUGAAUGGGAGAGAGGGGAGAAAGUGUGAAGCAAGUUUCCAUUCAGAUUUCAUUUUUGUGCUGACUUCACUGAGCUCGAACUGGCUCUGAGCAGCAAGAUCACAACACUCAGUUGUGCAUGGCCUGCAUGUACAGGGUGCAGCCACAAAAAAUCAUCACUUUCAUGGUGCAAGAUGAUAAAAGCAUUAAAAUACUUUCAGUAAGCACCUCAGUUUAUCAUUUGUUCGAUACUGUUGUCCGUGGAUGAGCACACUUGAGCCUUGGUCUGAAUGAUGUCAAAAAAGAAAAGUUGCAUCAGAAUUAAACAGCCCAGUGAUUCUCUAAGACUGAUAAUUAUUGUAAUAAACUCAACAGCUGGCACUACUUCUGUUGGCAUAAACUGUGCCCAAAAUGCCGACCUUAUAUCCUAGUGAUCAGGUCUCAGAAAUGGAAAUGGAGGAUGGCCCAAUUCCACGCUUUCUAAGAGGGUUUAUGCCUUGGUGUUUGUCCUCAAGUCUAAGAGUUGUACCAGGACACCAAAGAAGUAGAGGUCAUACUGCACUGUCAUAGGUCUCUGCUCCAGCCAAGAAUUCAUAAAAGCAGAUUUUGUCUGAUAGAGGAGAGAUGAUAAAACUGGCUGCUCUCUUGGAUAUAUGUUUGUUACGUUAGGAGGUUGCAAGAUGUAUUUUACCUAAGACAGAAGCAAAAUUUACCUUAUUUUAAAAAGGAAUAGUGAAUAAGAGACCAUUACAGAGAUCUACUGAAGUUGUAUAUCAGUUUCCAUAAAGCUAAUUAACUUAAUGAGCAAACUCUUUGAUCUGAUAUAUAAAUUCAUUAUUGAAGAUUUAAACAUUCACAAGAAGUUUAGAGACUGUUUCAAACGGCCUAGUAUUUGUCGAAUUUAUUCUUUGAAAAUACUGAAGACAUUGAAAUGUAAAAUAGAUGCAAAGGCCUCUAAAAUUAUCAGCUUUUAUCACUCCAAAAUAACAGGCACAUUGAUUUCUUAAGAAUGUGUUGAAUUUAAUGUCAAAUUUGUUCCUGAACCUGUUAAGUUUCCAAUAUAUGCUCUGAUCAUGGGCUUGACUAUGUCUUCCCAACCAUCUUAGAACAUUAAUCACUUCUGUUUUCUUACACCUAAUAUGGAUGUUAGCAGAAAGCCUUCUAAUCCUUUUGCACUUAGAACCGAGGUGAUCUGUAGGUUGCAACAAAAGAAAACACACAUUAACAUUUUUCUUUGUAUAAAGACAUGUAAAAUGAAUGCUCCACUUAGCAACAGGAAAGAAAUAACCCACCCACCUCAGGUGAAUCCUCUUACAAUCUGAAGGACUACAUUAGGUUUUCCCUUUUCAACCCAAACUCCUACAGACCUCAUCAGGAGAUUUGCAUAUGCAAGCACGAGAGCGAGGGGGACCUUAGGGCUUCAUAAGCAGCCGUGGAUGGACCCUUUAACUUCACAACAAGCAAACAAUGGACUAGUUGCACAAUAAGUGUGUGCCAAAGCCUUCCAUAUUGGCUGCAAAAAAUCAUUUUAAAAUCUUUCAUCUGCAGCCACUGCAAAAUCAUUUUGGGGGUGGGACCGAAGAUCUCAUCACUGAGGAAAACUGGACCCUAGGUACAGGAUUGAAAAAAAAAUUAAGGAUACGCUUCAUUACACAAACCAGCGAAAGGGUGAGGUCAUGCCUCUGCCGGGCCAUAGUUCAUGCGACACUACAAUUUUCUAGAUAUACAAUUUCAUCGUAAUUCUAACUAAUUUGCGGUUACUUUUGAUACAGAGAAAAGGAAAAGAUACAAUAGAUCAACCCGUGCCCCACCUUUCUCCCUCCGGCCCCCUCCGCCUUUAGAGCCAGGGACACGAAUUGUUUCGGAGCCCCACAGCGCCACCAGCACAGAGCAAUGCAAA